This 82-nucleotide transfer RNA is filed under the name Goniomonas avonlea. RNAcentral describes it as "tRNA-Tyr". It matches the Rfam family "tRNA". From Rfam's summary of the family: Transfer RNA (tRNA) molecules are approximately 80 nucleotides in length. Lineage: Eukaryota; Cryptophyceae; Goniomonadida; Goniomonadaceae. The record is from RNAcentral.
UGACAGGUGGCUGAGUGGUUAAAGCAGCAGACUGUAAAUCUGUCGGGUAAAUCCUUUCCAGGUUCGAUUCCUGGCCUGUCCA